UGCCCUAUAAUGCAGUUCGAGCGAACGGACGAAGAAGCUUGCUUUCUCUGAUGUUAGCGGCGGACGGGUGAGUAACACGUGGAUAACCUACCUAUAAGACUGGGAUAACUUCGGGAAACCGGAGCUAAUACCGGAUAAUAUUUUGAACCGCAUGGUUCAAAAGUGAAAGACGGUCUUGCUGUCACUUAUAGAUGGAUCCGCGCUGCAUUAGCUAGUUGGUAAGGUAACGGCUUACCAAGGCAACGAUGCAUAGCCGACCUGAGAGGGUGAUCGGCCACACUGGAACUGAGACACGGUCCAGACUCCUACGGGAGGCAGCAGUAGGGAAUCUUCCGCAAUGGGCGAAAGCCUGACGGAGCAACGCCGCGUGAGUGAUGAAGGUCUUCGGAUCGUAAAACUCUGUUAUUAGGGAAGAACAUAUGUGUAAGUAACUGUGCACAUCUUGACGGUACCUAAUCAGAAAGCCACGGCUAACUACGUGCCAGCAGCCGCGGUAAUACGUAGGUGGCAAGCGUUAUCCGGAAUUAUUGGGCGUAAAGCGCGCGUAGGCGGUUUUUUAA
This 560-nucleotide ribosomal RNA is filed under the name Staphylococcus aureus. RNAcentral's name for it is "bacterial SSU rRNA". It matches the Rfam family "Bacterial small subunit ribosomal RNA", at positions 45 to 586 of the family's 1533-position model. Lineage: Bacteria; Bacillati; Bacillota; Bacilli; Caryophanales; Staphylococcaceae. The record is from RNAcentral.